UUGUCUUUCCACUUUUUGGCUUUCGACUUCAGCGCUACUCCACUUGUUAAUUUUUCCUGCCCCAGAGGAGCGACAUCAUCAAUUAGCUUUUGUGGACACGGUGUUCCAUUCACACACACGUUUCUUUGUGCUGCAUUUUUCUUGCUUCAUAGGAGCGGAUUUCCGACUAACGCAUCUGGGGACACAGUUCCGACUAACACACACACACGUUUCUUUGUGCUACAUUUUUCCUGCUUCAUUGGGACACAGUUCCGAUUAACACACACACACGUUUCUUUGUGCUGCAUUUUUCCUGCUUCAUAGGAGCGGAUUUCCGACUAACAUACACACACGUAUAAUCGCAGCUUCUCCGUUUGAAGUGUUUUGUAUGUAAGUUAAAAUAAGUUAUUAGAGCAGUGCUUAUUCAUAAGAUGAUAUUUCCAAAUUACAUUAAUUUUUUAAGUUUAAGCGUUACUAAUUUCAGUGGGGUUAAAAUUAUUUUGUGUGUCAAUAAAUAACAUCUGAAG
Long non-coding RNA from Rhagoletis zephyria (snowberry fruit fly), 506 nucleotides. RefSeq lists it as uncharacterized. Lineage: Eukaryota; Metazoa; Arthropoda; Insecta; Diptera; Tephritidae. The record is from RefSeq and is a predicted model, not a curated record.